RNAcentral lists this long non-coding RNA (592 nucleotides) under Gossypium raimondii (Peruvian cotton). RNAcentral describes it as "long non-coding RNA (GRAI_LNC009473)". The record is from RNAcentral. Lineage: Eukaryota; Viridiplantae; Streptophyta; Magnoliopsida; Malvales; Malvaceae.
UGGGUAGUUGGGAUGGUUUUGGUUUUAAUUUCCUAAUAUUCAAUUUGUUUUUCUUUUAAAAUAAAUCCCGACAAAAUUUUUAAAUUUCCUCUACAGUUUUUGCACAUCCCUUUUUGUUUGUUGUUUUUCUUUUUUUUUUCCUUUCUUUUCAUUUUUCAUUCAUUUGGCUUGUUACUAAGUUGCUUCCUGCGGUUCCAAUAAGUGAUUUUCUAGCUUUUGUUCUUUCUUUCUUUAGCAACUCCAGCCUUUCUUUAGUUAUUUUGAUUGGUGUUGUGUAGCAUUCAAUUUUGGUUGGGGGGAGGUGUGUCUGAUCGAAUCUGUUCUUGAGUGGUGGUGUGGUUUUUUUAUUUUUCUUUAUUCUUUUUUUAUCUAUAUAAUUGGGGGUCAUAUGUUGUGCUAAUCGUGGAGUUAUUUUAGGGGAAACUUACGAGGCAUUUGAUCCUUCGACAAGUUAAGCUCUAUGGUGUUCAGUUGUUUCGUUUGGGGGUAAGUCGUCAAACGUUAUUUUGGGAAUUUUUGUUGGCAUGGUUUUGUCAUUUUGUGAUUAGAUUUGGUAAGAGAACGUGUUAAUUGACUUGUGUUUCUAUCAAAU